UUACGGUCAAAUCACGCUGAAAACACCGGUUCUCGUUCGAUCACCGAAGUUAAGCAUCGUAGAGCCAGGUCAGUACUUAGAUGGGGGACCGCUUGGGAACACCUGGUACUGUAAUC
Non-coding RNA from Acanthosepion pharaonis, 116 nucleotides. The record is from the annotation of a GenBank genome assembly. Lineage: Eukaryota; Metazoa; Mollusca; Cephalopoda; Sepiida; Sepiidae.